This 430-nucleotide ribosomal RNA is filed under the name bacterium. RNAcentral describes it as "partial 16S ribosomal RNA". It matches the Rfam family "Bacterial small subunit ribosomal RNA", at positions 355 to 776 of the family's 1533-position model. The record is from RNAcentral.
UGGGGAAUAUUGGACAAUGGGCGCAAGCCUGAUCCAGCCAUGCCGCGUGUGUGAAGAAUGCCUUUCGGUUGUAAAGCACUUUAAGCGAGGAGGAGGCUACUUGGAUUAAUACUCUAAGAUAGUGGACGUUACUCGCAGAAUAAGCACCGGCUAACUCUGUGCCAGCAGCCGCGGUAAUACAGAGGGUGCGAGCGUUAAUCGGAUUUACUGGGCGUAAAGCGUGCGUAGGCGGCUUCUUAAGUCGGAUGUGAAAUCCCUGAGCUUAACUUAGGAAUUGCAUUCGAUACUGGGAAGCUAGAGUAUGGGAGAGGAUGGUAGAAUACCAGGUGUAGCGGUGAAAUGCGUAGAAAUCUGGAGGAAUACCGAUAGCGGAGGCAGCCAUCUGGCCUAAUACUGACGCUGAGGUACGAAAGCAUGGGGAGCAAACAGG